UGAGUACGAGACGCUACGGCGUCGAAGCAGUCUAUGUCAUACUUCCAAGAAAAGCUUGCACUGUCAUAAACAAAUAAUGCCUGUACCAUAACCGACACAGGUGGGUAGGUAGAGUAUACUAAGGAGCGCGAGAUAACUCUCUCUAAGGAACUCGGCAAAAUGACUCCGUAACUUCGGGAGAAGGAGUGCCUUAUUCUUAAGGUUGCAAUAACAAGAUCCAAGCAACUGUUUAUCAAAAACACAGGUCUCCGCUAAGUCGUAAGACGAUGUAUGGGGGCUGACGCCUGCCCAGUGCCAGAAGGUUAAAGAAGUUGGUUAGCAUUCGCGAAGCUGAUAACUGAAGCCCUGGUGAACGGCGGCCGUAACAAUAACGGUCCUAAGGUAGCGAAAUUCCUUGUCGGGUAAGUUCCGACCCGCACGAAAGGCGUAAUGAUUUGGAUACUGUCUCGGAGAGGGGCUCGGUGAAAUAGACUUGUCUGUGAAGAUCGGACUACCUGCACCUGGACAGAAAGACCCUAUGAAGCUUUACUGUAACUUGAAAUUGAAAUUGGACUUUAUUUGCGCAGUAUAGGUGGGAGGCGUUGAGAAUAUUCUUGCGGGAAUAUUGGAGCCAUCAGAGAGAUACCACUCUUGUAAUGUUAGAUUUCUAACUUUGGAUCAUUAUCUGGUCAAAGGACAGUUUCAGGCGGGCAGUUUGACUGGGGCGGUCGCCUCCUAAAUGGUAACGGAGGCGCACAAAGGUUUCCUCUGAACGGGUAGAAAUCGUAUCUAGAGUGUAAAGGCAUAAGGAAGCUUGACUGUGAGACCUACAAGUCGAGCAGGGACGAAAGUCGGUCUUAGUGAUCUGACGGUGCUGAGUGGAAAGGCCGUCACUCAACGGAUAAAAGUUACUCUAAGGAUAACAGGCUGAUCUCCCCCAAGAGUUCACAUCGACGGGGAGGUUUGGCACCUCGAUGUCGGCUCAUCGCAUCCUGGGGCGGUAGAACGUCCCAAGGGUUGGGCUAUUCGCCCAUGAAAGCGGUACGCGAGCUGGGUUCAGAACGUCGUGAGACAGUUCGGUCCAUAUCCGGUGUAGGCGUUAGAAUAUUGAGAGGAGCCUUCUUUAGUACGAGAGGACCGAGAAGGACAUACCUCUGGUGUACCAGUUAUCGUGCCAACGGUAAACGCUGGGUAGCUAUGUAUGGAGAGGAUAACCGCUGAAAGCAUCUAAGUGGGAAGCCCACCUCAAGAUAAG
Molecule: ribosomal RNA, 1234 nt
Filed under: metagenome
Description: bacterial LSU rRNA
Rfam family: Bacterial large subunit ribosomal RNA
Source: RNAcentral